UACGUAGGGGGCAAGCGUUGUCCGGAAUCAUUGGGCGUAAAGAGCGUGUAGGCGGCUUGGCAAGUCUCGCGUGAAAUCUUGCGGCUUAACCGCAAGCGGUCGUGAGAAACUGCCUGGCUAGAAUCCGGAAGAGGAGAGCGGAAUUCCUGGUGUAGCGGUGGAAUGCGCAGAUAUCAGGAAGAACACCCGUGGCGAAGGCGGCUCUCUGGGACGGUAUUGACGCUGAGACGCGAAAGCGUGGGGAGCGAACAGGAUUAGAUACCCUGGUAGUCCACGCCGUAAACGAUGGGUGCUAGGUGUGGGAGGUGUCGAUUCCUCCCGUGCCGAAGCUAACGCAUUAAGCACCCCGCCUGGGGAGUACGGCCGCAAGGCUAAA
This 376-nucleotide ribosomal RNA is filed under the name uncultured bacterium. Its description in RNAcentral is "bacterial SSU rRNA". It matches the Rfam family "Bacterial small subunit ribosomal RNA", at positions 524 to 898 of the family's 1533-position model. The record is from RNAcentral.